UCGUAUCUAACAACCUGGCUAAUAGCACGGCAGCUGGAUUAUGGGGAGCUAUUGCACGAGCGCCACGAGGUGACCCGGCCAUCGGCGAAGCAUGUGCUUGCAAAUUAAAAUAGUCCGGUGGAACUACUUUCCAUGGGAUCCCACAACCAUUCAUGGAAUCUUAGUAUCUUACAACCAUUGGAGUUAUUGUAUUGGCACAUUCGCUGAUCCGCACAUCUUGUUAUGAAUACAUGCACAUUAGGUAACCUUGAUCUCCAAGUUUUGCAGUCUUAACUUGAUCUUUCUUGGAGCUUCUUCGUUGAUUGUUCCGUUUUCCGUCGACCUGGACGCCGCCGACGCAACACCAUCGUCACAUCUGAAUUUUUCAUCGAGUUUUACGACGUCAUCGGCCACCGUUGUCGGCGGCAUCAUCUGAUCAGUGCCAGCUACUAACUGGUGAGUUGGAUCUGUCAUUUCCGUCGGCGACGGAUGCACUGCAGAACCAGCCACCGGUGUUGUCCAGCCGCCCAUGUUUUGUGCCAACGCUACCACAACUCAUGAAUGCAUCGACGUCCGGAAGAUCACCGCCUCCAGCACUGCCCUGAAUCUUAAUGUAGUUGAUCUCAAGUUAUAGGGCAGUACAUGUACUAGCAUCCAUCACAACGUGUCCACGCGUUCUACAAAUUUAAUUCCCCUAUAUUACCUUCUUUUGCUAGUAUAUACAAUUCCGUGAAGAUACAAUCUCAUGCACAUAUGCUUCCUUUUCCUAGCUCUGUGGAUGUACGUACAUGCAUACAGGGAACGAACUAACUAAAGAACAUACAUUAUGUUAGGAGAUACUCCUUUCUUCGAAUAUAUACAUACCCUUUUUAUUUAC
Molecule: long non-coding RNA, 856 nt
Filed under: Hordeum vulgare
Lineage: Eukaryota; Viridiplantae; Streptophyta; Magnoliopsida; Poales; Poaceae
Description: long non-coding RNA (HVUL_LNC015370)
Source: RNAcentral